GGUUUAUCUAGGAUUGUAAUUAAUAAAAAUAAUUUUAAGUAUGCAUAUAAUUUAGUACUUUUUAAGGAAAUAUAGUUAAUUGUUUAUAGUGAAUUAGUACUGUGGGGGAAAUAUGAAAUAAAAUUUUGAAAUUAAUUUUAUUUUGUUAGAAGUAAAAUUUAUUUUGUACCUUGUGUCUCAGGGUUUAUUAAAAAUUAUCUAUUAAUUUUAGAGAUCCCGAAUUAGGAAGAGCGAGAUUUAUAUAUUAAUUAAUGUAGCAUAAUUAUUAAUAAUAUAAAUUUUUGUAAUGAAAUGUUAGUCGUUUUCUAUGAUAUCUGGUUUUCUAAGAAACAAAUUGAAUUUGUUCAUUAUUGUGUAAAUUUUUAAUUAUAAAAUUUAUUUAUAUAAUAUGUUUUAGAUUUUUUGGGAUAAGCUAAGGAAUUAAAUUAUUAAAAUUGGUGAUAAUCAUUUAUUUUAAUAGGCUUUAAAGUAGCUUUUUAUAUAAAAUUGUUAUAAAUUAAUUUUAUGAAAAUAUGAUUUUAAAUUUAUUUAAUUAUUUUAUUAGAAUUAUGUAUAUAAUAGAAAAAUAUUUGAAAAUAUGAUAAAAUGAGUAUAAUUAUAAAAAUUAGGUUGUUUUAAGUUAAGAUAAUUAUUUGAUAAUUAGGCUAAAGGAAUUAGGCAAAUUAUUUAUUCAUAUGUUUAUCAAAAACAUUUCUUUUUGAUUUUAUAAAAAGUAGGGCCUGCCCACUGAUUUUUGAAGGGCCGCGGUACUUUGACCGUGCAAAGGUAGCAAAAUCAUUAGUCUUUUAAUUGAGGGCUGGAAUGAAUGGUUUAAUGAAAUAAAUACUGUCUCUAGCAUAAAGUUUUGAAAUUAACUUUUUAGUAAGAAGGCUAAAAUAUUGAUAUAGGACGAGAAGACCCUAUAGAGUUUUAUUUAAUAUAUUUUAUAUUAUUAUUAGAUGUCAUGGAUAGAUUAGAAUUAUAUUAAAUUUUGUUGGGGUGACAUGAAGAAUUAAUAAACUCUUUAUAUUUAUUAACAUUAAUUAGUGGUUAAUUGAUCCAUUAUUAUUGAUUAAAAGAUUAAAUUACCUUAGGGAUAACAGCGUAAUUUUUUUUGAGAGUUCUUAUCAAUAGAAAAGAUUGCGACCUCGAUGUUGGAUUAAGAAUAUUUUUAGGUGCAGCAGCUUAAUAAAUAAGUCUGUUCGACUUUUAAAUUCUUACAUGAUCUGAGUUCAGACCGGCGUGAGCCAGGUCGGUUUCUAUCCUUAUUUAAAUAUAAAAUCUUAGUACGAGAGGACCUGGUUUUAGAAAUAAUUUGAUGAAUUUUUGAAUUCUACUAAACUAAUUUGGCAGAUAAGUGCUU
Molecule: ribosomal RNA, 1342 nt
Filed under: Sanaa intermedia
Lineage: Eukaryota; Metazoa; Arthropoda; Insecta; Orthoptera; Tettigoniidae
Description: 16S ribosomal RNA
Rfam family: Archaeal large subunit ribosomal RNA (bases 584-1342)
Source: RNAcentral